RNAcentral lists this ribosomal RNA (775 nucleotides) under uncultured Neocallimastigales. RNAcentral's name for it is "partial large subunit ribosomal RNA". It matches the Rfam family "Eukaryotic large subunit ribosomal RNA", at positions 24 to 649 of the family's 3401-position model. Lineage: Eukaryota; Fungi; Neocallimastigomycota; Neocallimastigomycetes; Neocallimastigales. The record is from RNAcentral.
UAUGUGAUCGUCUCUCGCAUAUCAAUAAGCGGAGGAAAAGAAACUAACAAGGAUUACCCCUAGUAACGGCGAGUGAAGCGGGAAGAGCUCAAAUUUGAAAUCUUAAAGGGUUUCCCUUUACGAAUUGUAGUUUAAAGAAGUGUUUUCUGUUGAGGUUUUGGUAAAAGUUCUUUGGAAUAGGACAUCAUAGAGGGUGAGAAUCCCGUAUUUGACCUUUACUUUCAACUUUGUGAUACACUUUCAAAGAGUCGGAUUGUUUGGGAAUGCAGUCCAAAAUGGGUGGUAAAUUUCAUCUAAAGCUAAAUAUUGGCGAGAGACCGAUAGCGAACAAGUACCGUGAGGGAAAGAUGAAAAGAACUUUGAAAAGAGAGUUAAACAGUACGUGAAAUUGUCAAAAGGGAAGCGUUUGACACCAGUGUUGUUUUUCUGAAAAUCAAUUAAAGAACUGUUUAUGCUAAGCUGUUUAGACUUUAUCAGCUAACUGUUUAGUUUUGAGCUUUUCUUUAAUGCACUUUUCAGUUAACAAGUCAACAUCAAUCUCUUUUGCUGUAAAAAAGCUUGAGGAAGGUGGCUUGAGAUUCGUCUUAAGUGUUUAUAGCCUCUUGCCUAUGCAGUCGGAGAGAUUGAGGUCUGCAGCGUAGAUCCUUCGGGGCUAAAUGCAUUUGUGCUAAGUUAUAGCAUUUUAUAGACAACUUGUUGACUAUGAUUUGUCUUGUAGCUUACUCGCUUAGGUUAUUUUACCUACGCUUAGGAUGUUGAGUAGCGACAUACGCAC